AUUGAACGCUAACGGCAUGCCUUACACAUGCAAGUCGAACGGCAGCACGGGAGCAAUCCUGGUGGCGAGUGGCGAACGGGUGAGUAAAGUAUCGGAACGUGCCCAGUCGUGGGGGAUAACGUAGCGAAAGUUACGCUAAUACCGCAUACGAUCUACGGAUGAAAGCGGGGGAUCGCAAGACCUCGCGCGAUUGGAGCGGCUGAUAUCAGAUUAGGUAGUUGGUGGGGUAAAGGCUCACCAAGCCGACGAUCUGUAGCUGGUCUGAGAGGACGACCAGCCACACUGGGACUGAGACACGGCCCAGACUCCUACGGGAGGCAGCAGUGGGGAAUUUUGGACAAUGGGCGCAAGCCUGAUCCAGCCAUGCCGCGUGCAGGAUGAAGGCCUUCGGGUUGUAAACUGCUUUUGUACGGAACGAAAAGGUUUGGCCUAAUAAGCUGGACCCAUGACGGUAUCGUAAGAAUAAGCACCGGCUAACUACGUGCCAGCAGCCGCCGCCG
RNAcentral lists this ribosomal RNA (500 nucleotides) under uncultured bacterium. Its description in RNAcentral is "partial 16S ribosomal RNA". It matches the Rfam family "Bacterial small subunit ribosomal RNA", at positions 30 to 523 of the family's 1533-position model. The record is from RNAcentral.